GGCAUUCAGUUAUUGACCCGCCGAGGUUUGGGAGCCGUGCGCGCGCAUCGGUCCAGAGCUAGACGCUAGAUCUCUAGACCUUUCCUAGCCGCGAUGCCGGCUCCCUGCGAAUCAUGUAAAGACACGUGCGGCAGCGGCACGGCCGCGUGCGGCGCUGGCUGCACUUGCGGCCCUAGCUGCGCGUGCGGCGAUGGGAAGCCCUCUGGGGGCAAGCCUUGCUGCCAAGGAAAGUAGUCUCCAAUCUUCUUAGAUCUACAACAUCUUUUCAACAUGCAAAUUUACUUAGAACAUAUUAUUUAGAUGUUAGUUACAUAUUAUAAUUAAUGUAAAGUAGAGCUAUUUAUCGCAAACAUUUAACUCAGUAAUGGAAAUUCUACUUUUUAAUAUCUAUAGGUGUUAGGUCAAUGUUGUGUCGUCAUCAACAUAAAUGUUAGAUGUUAAGAUUACAUUUAAAGUAUUAAAAAUUAAUCUUAUUAAUUACAUAUUAAUAUUAAUAUAAUAUUAAGUAUAUUAAAGGCUAUGUAUUGUUAGGCUAGUUAUUUGCUUAAAUGCAUUUUUAAUAUAUAAUUAGUAUAUAAGUGUAGUAUGUAGUUUUAUCACAUUCAAUGGAUUAAAACGCUUCUUCGAAAGAGAAUAUUUAGUACUGUAAUACUCAUUAAUAUUAAGGUUAUGCGCAAUGUGUAAGCGCACGCACACACGCAUAGUGCUAUGUAAGUGUAUGAUUAUGGUUCAAUAAAGGUAAACCCAAACCAA
Long non-coding RNA from Pararge aegeria (speckled wood butterfly), 753 nucleotides. RefSeq lists it as uncharacterized. The transcript is spliced from 3 exons. The record is from RefSeq and is a predicted model, not a curated record. NCBI's taxonomy places the organism in Eukaryota, Metazoa, Arthropoda, Insecta, Lepidoptera, Nymphalidae.